This 492-nucleotide ribosomal RNA is filed under the name uncultured bacterium. RNAcentral describes it as "partial 16S ribosomal RNA". It matches the Rfam family "Bacterial small subunit ribosomal RNA", at positions 29 to 507 of the family's 1533-position model. The record is from RNAcentral.
AGUGAACGCUGGCGGUAGGCCUAACACAUGCAAGUCGAACGGCAGCACAGUAAGAGCUUGCUCUUACGGGUGGCGAGUGGCGGACGGGUGAGGAAUACAUCGGAAUCUACUUUUUCGUGGGGGAUAACGUAGGGAAACUUACGCUAAUACCGCAUACGACCUACGGGUGAAAGCAGGGGAUCUUCGGACCUUGCGCGAUUGAAUGAGCCGAUGUUGGAUUAGCUAGUUGGCGGGGUAAAGGCCCACCAAGGCGACGAUCCGUAGCUGGUCUGAGAGGAUGAUCAGCCACACUGGAACUGAGACACGGUCCAGACACCUACGGGAGGCAGCAGUGGGGAAUAUUGGACAAUGGGCGCAAGCCUGAUCCAGCCAUACCGCGUGGGUGAAGAAGGCCUUCGGGUUGUAAAGCCCUUUUGUUGGGAAAGAAAAGCAGCAGGUUAAUACCCCGCUGUUCUGACGGUACCCAAAGAAUAAGCACCGGCUAACUUCGUG